UGUUUCUGAAACAAUAAUGGAGAGCCAGAUCUACAGAGUUCACGAGGGAUUUUUCUUCUACCAAUGUUGCUUCCUUUCAUCCUUUUUCCUUCCAAGUCAUAAUCACUAUUAAAGAUCGUUCUUCAUGAAUUAUUGUUUCCAAACCCCCUUAAUCAUUCAUAAGAUUGGUUAACAUCAUUAUCGAUUUGAUAUGAUUUCCAUUCUUAAUCGCUCCUUGUUCUUCUUUCUGCUUUGUGUUUCUAGGUUAUGAUUAUCCCAAUGUUUGGCGACUCUGAAGCUGUUUACACAAUUGACAACAUUAUUGUUGGAGAUUUAAAUUGACCAAACCAAGCUAAAAUACAAUUCUGAUGGACCAACUCGUGAGGAGCCAAAUCUACAGAGUUCACGAAGGUUUUUGCUUCAAAUAAUGUUGCUUCCUUUCAUCCUUUUUCCUUCCAAGUCGCAAAAAGCUCGUCCUUCAUUGCGAAUCAUUGUAACCAAACCCCAUAAUCGUUCAAAAGACAGGUUAAUGCUAUGAUCAUCCUAGUUUUUGGCAACUCUGAAGUUGUUCACACAAUUGAUAACAUUAUUGAUGGAGAUUUAAAUUGGUAUGUGUUUAUUCUCAAAAUUCUUUUAAUUUCUAACUAUCCAUAUGAUUUUCGUGAUAAUUGCCAUUAAAUCUCAUUAUUCAUCGCAAAUUAUUGUACCCUAACCCUAAAAUUGUUCAAAAGACAUGUUAAAAUCAUUACUGACUUUCAAAUUUGUUAGAGAAGGAGGACACAAUUUGAGAUGAUUUAUCUUGUUGAUAAUUAACGACCCUGUAGUAACAAACCUCACUCAUAAUAGAGUAUGCCUCGUCUUUAACCUUCUUGGUAAGGUACUCCAGUGCAAUUCGAGCAACUUCGUGGCCAGCUGCUUUUCGAUGGAAGAAAGUAAGUUGCGAAGUGAAAAUCAACCCAUCCACCAUCACACUUGAUCUAUACGCAGGUACCUGGGUUUAUCCAAAGUUGCGAGAAAGAAACUCAGGAUGUUUCAUGUUUGACUUCAGAGCAAAUUGUAUCAAAUUAUUUUUAAACAUUG
Molecule: long non-coding RNA, 1059 nt
Organism: Medicago truncatula (barrel medic)
Lineage: Eukaryota; Viridiplantae; Streptophyta; Magnoliopsida; Fabales; Fabaceae
Exons: 4
Source: RefSeq, a predicted model, not a curated record